Molecule: long non-coding RNA, 1649 nt
Organism: Uranotaenia lowii
Lineage: Eukaryota; Metazoa; Arthropoda; Insecta; Diptera; Culicidae
Exons: 3
Source: RefSeq, a predicted model, not a curated record
UUUCCAUCCUCCCAACGUAGACGGAAUUUGGAUUCAAUGACAAAACAUAAAAGGAAAAGAAACAAAAUUCUCGUCUACCGAGAAUGCAUUCUAAAUAAUUCCAUUACAAGCAUCCCCAGCUUCCGUUCUGCGGAACGCAAACAAAGAGAAACCACCCACCCGGAUGCAUUAAAUGAGGAUGCAUUUCUCCCACCAAGCCACCCAACCAAAAAUUAUAAAACCGGAAAGAAAGAAAAACCUUCCCAUAUAAGAAACCGAAUACAUAACGAUGGAGCGGGGGAAGCCAUUGGCAUUUGACUCCGCGCCUUUGUGCGGGUUUAAAUAGUCAAACACGUGGUGGUGUGGCUCCAGAGAGCGAAAAGUACAUAAAACAAAACUUUUCCAUCUCCGUCUCUUUGAUUUAACCGGUGUGGAACAUAAAGCAAAGGUACGAACUUUUGGGCAAAACAAAGAACGCAGAGGUCAAAACAAAAUUAAACCAAAACAUAUGGUUAGCGGGUGGGAGUUUGCGCAAUGAUUGAUUGACUGUGGCUCCAGAGAGUAAAAUGUGAUAUUUCAUUCUAAAAACUUACCGCUGCUCGUUUAGCAAUUCCUUUCGAGCCCGGUGGCAACUGGUAGCAUUUGCGAUCGCCGAAAGCCGGUGCAGAUUUGGCCGCGUCACGGAAUGGGCCGUAAAACCCAGAUGCGAAUUUCACCGAAUACGACAAAACCGAAACACGAUUUUCCAGUUUAUUGUCCCGCAGAAUCCGUUUGAUGGCACCGAUCCGAUUGUCCAUCAUGUCCGAGGGUGCCACAAUGUGAGCACCAGCCCUGGCAUAGGCCAGAGAAAUUUCUGCUAUCCUCCGGAUGCUCGGUUCAUUGUCGAUGGUGCCGUCUUCGGUUAGGAUGCCACAAUGGCCGUGACUGGUGUAGGGGCACGGGCAAACAUCACAAGCAAUAAGCAGAUCCGGAAACCAUUGGCGAAGCUGUGGGAGCGCUUUGAUCACUGGAUUGUUUGGGCUGUCGGCAGCCGAACCCGUGGAGUCCUAUAGAAGAUUUGGAAAUUUUCGAGCAUAAUUGAUUUUAUAAACAAAUUUUUGAUUCUGCCUCCGAUCCAACCAACAUACCUUGUGGUCGGAAGUUCCAAAAAGGGCAUUACAACUACCUACGCUCCGACAGCCCUGUGGUCAGACGCACUGAAAGCUGGUGUGGGAUCCCCCAUUGGUGGCCGAACCAAUAAAAUCUAAAACCUCCGAAGGCAAAACCGAUUUCCCGACGGCCCCGUGGUUUCGUUUCCAAACCGAAGGAACUUGUCCCGGAUCUGGGCGAACUCAAGCAGACUCAACCCUUCCGAUCGGUGUAUCGGAUCUCGCAUGCAGAUGGUCAUCGGCAGCAGCGGGCCCAGACACUAACACCACAAACAUAAAAACCACCGCCACACCUCGCCAGCCACCCUCCACCGCCAACCGCCCACCCUUCAAAUCAACAUGCACCAGAAUCACGCAGCAUAUGAAGAGAAACAUAUUUCCUUAUACAAAUUUUGUUCAAUGUAAAGUGAUAACUGAUAGCUCAGUUACAAACCGCCAAAAGCAAUCCCUUAAAAGAGUACAUCUCACUGGGAUUGUAUCUGCCUAACUGAAAAACUAUUGUAAAAUGAUUGUAAAACUGAU